Molecule: ribosomal RNA, 443 nt
Filed under: uncultured rumen bacterium
Lineage: Bacteria
Description: bacterial SSU rRNA
Rfam family: Bacterial small subunit ribosomal RNA
Source: RNAcentral
AAUUCGAUUAACGCGAAGAACCUUACCUGGGUUUGACAUUCAUUUGACGUAUGUAGAAAUACAUAUUUCCGCAAGGACGGAUGAACAGGUGCUGCAUGGCUGUCGUCAGCUCGUGCCGUGAGGUGUUCGGUUAAGUCCGGCAACGAGCGCAACCCCUGUUGUUAGUUGCUACCAGGUGAAGCUGGGCACUCUAGCGAGACCGCCCGUGUUAAGCGGGAGGAAGGCGGGGACGACGUCAAGUCCGUAUGGCCUUUAUAUUCAGGGCUGCACACGUGCUACAAUGGCUGUUACAGAGGGAAGCAAGACCGCGAGGUGGAGCAGACCCGGAAAAGCAGCCUUAGUUCAGAUUGCAGUCUGCAACUCGACUGCAUGAAGCCGGAAUCGCUAGUAAAGGCGUAUCAGCCACGACGCCUUGAAUACGUUCCCGGGUCUUGUACACACCG